GUUAAUGUAGNUUAAAAAUAAAGCAAGNCACUGAAAAUGCCUAGAUGGGUAUACCAACCCCAUAAACA
RNAcentral lists this transfer RNA (68 nucleotides) under Tragelaphus scriptus (bushbuck). Its description in RNAcentral is "tRNA-Phe". It matches the Rfam family "tRNA". Rfam says of the family: Transfer RNA (tRNA) molecules are approximately 80 nucleotides in length. Their secondary structure includes four short double-helical elements and three loops (D, anti-codon, and T loops). Further hydrogen bonds mediate the characteristic L-shaped molecular structure. tRNAs have two regions of fundamental functional importance: the anti-codon, which is responsible for specific mRNA codon recognition, and the 3' end, to which the tRNAs corresponding amino acid is attached (by aminoacyl-tRNA synthetases). tRNAs cope with the degeneracy of the genetic code in two manners: having more than one tRNA (with a specific anti-codon) for a particular amino acid; and 'wobble' base-pairing, i.e. permitting non-standard base-pairing at the 3rd anti-codon position. The record is from RNAcentral. Lineage: Eukaryota; Metazoa; Chordata; Mammalia; Artiodactyla; Bovidae.